This 460-nucleotide ribosomal RNA is filed under the name uncultured bacterium. Its description in RNAcentral is "partial 16S ribosomal RNA". It matches the Rfam family "Bacterial small subunit ribosomal RNA", at positions 338 to 795 of the family's 1533-position model. The record is from RNAcentral.
CCUACGGGUGGCAGCAGUGAGGAAUAUUGGUCAAUGGACGCAAGUCUGAACCAGCCAAGCCGCGUGAAGGAAGACGGCUCUAUGGGUUGUAAACUUCUUUUGUAAGGGAGUAAACUCAGACACGCGUACCUGUCUGAAUGUACCGUACGAAUAAGGAUCGGCUAACUCCGUGCCAGCAGCCGCGGUAAUACGGAGGAUUCAAGCGUUAUCCGGAUUUAUUGGGUUUAAAGGGUGCGUAGGUGGGCGGAUAAGUCAGAUGUGAAAGUCCGCGGCUCAACCGUAGAAUUGCCACUGAUACUGGUAGGCUAGAGUGCAGUUGAGGUAGGCGGAAUGCAUGGUGUAGCGGUGAAAUGCUUAGAGAUCACGCAGAACACCGAUUGCGAAGGCAGCUUACCAAGCUACUUCUGACGUUGAGGCACGAAAGCGUGGGUAGCAAACAGGAUUAGAUACCCGAGUAGUC